GUGAUCGCUUCGGCAGCACAUAUACUAAAAUUGAAACAAUACAGAGAAGAUUAACAUGGUCCAUGCACAAGGAUGAUAUACAAAUUUGUGAAGUGUUCCAUAUUUUU
RNAcentral lists this small nuclear RNA (107 nucleotides) under Erinaceus europaeus (western European hedgehog). The record is from RNAcentral. Lineage: Eukaryota; Metazoa; Chordata; Mammalia; Eulipotyphla; Erinaceidae.